Molecule: non-coding RNA, 145 nt
Organism: Nitrospina sp.
Lineage: Bacteria; Pseudomonadati; Nitrospinota; Nitrospinia; Nitrospinales; Nitrospinaceae
Source: Rfam
UCCAUCGCGAGGUGGAAUCUGAAGGAAGCCGCAGGCAAAACGCUGGCCCGACGAACAGAAAUCGCACGACCGGACUGAAGGCCCGAACAUGUUGUACGGGAUAGGAGCCUUGAAUUUCGACGAGGCAGUAGAGGCAGAAGGUUGC